AGUUCAUCGAUCAUAAAAAAGGAACAAUAAUAAAGGCAAAAAUUAUCUCUCUUUUUUUUUUAAAAGGCAAAGAUAACCAUUAACCAACCAGCAAGUAGCUGGCACCGAAUACCAGCAACAAAAUAACAUCAUGAGCAUGGUUUUACAAACCUUCUAGACAUAAACCUAAGUUUGAGACUUGCCCAAUACAAUCCCUGAACUAAAAUUCAUCCUGUCUUCCCAUUGUGUACUUUAGCAGCCCUCUGUACAAAAGAACGACUAUAACCGAGCCGAUAUAUCUUGAAUCAACAGCAACUCACGUUUUUUUACCUUUUACCCUUAGUCUUAUACAAAUCCGUGUUCGAUAUGCCCAGACCGCUUAUGUGUGUUUCUUGCGCUACUGUCGAUGAUGCUCCUUGUUUAGGCCUCUUACCACCUAGUUUUCAGCAGCUGCUUAUGUUUCUUGCGCUACUGUCUAGUGAUGAUCCUUGAAAGAAAGGCAACCAAGAACAUCAUGCUUAGUACCCUCCCUUUCCUCAUAAUGCCUUUCUUUCAUAUGUGAUUUGAACAUCAUGCUGAAUACCCUCCCUUUCCUCAUUUCAGCUGCUUUUUAUUAUGCCCACUUACCAUAUUCCUCGUUUCAGUAGCUUUUAAGGAGACCCACUUGCAUAUUCUUCAUUUUAUGACUCCAUUCUCAAUGUUUCCAUUAUAUGUGAAUUGUCAACAUAAUAGCCCUAUUAGGAAAGUGUCCCUCCCUUUCAGCCAUCAUGUUUCACCAAUACGCACCCACACACCAGAUUUAUUACCCCCACUCAUGUUUCCUAUCUUUGGAAAGACCAUUCCAAAUUGUACCUAAAAAUUUGAUAUUACCAUACCUAAAGGUGCAUGUGUCACACCCUCAAAAUACCACCUAGGGAGUGCCC
This 902-nucleotide long non-coding RNA is filed under the name Helianthus annuus (common sunflower). Lineage: Eukaryota; Viridiplantae; Streptophyta; Magnoliopsida; Asterales; Asteraceae. The record is from RNAcentral.